Molecule: non-coding RNA, 27 nt
Filed under: Rattus norvegicus (Norway rat)
Lineage: Eukaryota; Metazoa; Chordata; Mammalia; Rodentia; Muridae
Source: RNAcentral
UGGCACCAUUGCUUCUUCUUUGCAUGC